CUACGGGUGGCAGCAGUCGGGAAUAUUGGACAAUGGGGGAAACCCUGAUCCAGCCAUGCCGCGUGUGUGAAGAAGGCCCUAGGGUUGUAAAGCACUUUUAGUAGUGAGGAAGGCUCAGUAGUUAAUACCUACUGGGAUUGACGUUAGCUACAGAAAAAGCACCGGCUAAUUUCGUGCCAGCAGCCGCGGUAAUACGAAAGGUGCAAGCGUUAAUCGGAAUUACUGGGCGUAAAGCGCGCGUAGGCGGCUUGGUAAGUUGGAUGUGAAAGCCCCGGGCUCAACCUGGGAACUGCAUCCAAAACUGCCUAGCUAGAGUAUGGUAGAGGAUGGCGGAAUUUCCUGUGUAGCGGUGAAAUGCGUAGAUAUAGGAAGGAACAUCAGUGGCGAAGGCGGCCAUCUGGACCAAUACUGACGCUGAGGUGCGAAAGCGUGGGGAGCAAACAGGAUUAGAUACCCUAGUAGUC
RNAcentral lists this ribosomal RNA (464 nucleotides) under uncultured bacterium. Its description in RNAcentral is "partial 16S ribosomal RNA". It matches the Rfam family "Bacterial small subunit ribosomal RNA", at positions 339 to 795 of the family's 1533-position model. The record is from RNAcentral.